RNAcentral lists this ribosomal RNA (253 nucleotides) under uncultured bacterium. RNAcentral's name for it is "partial 16S ribosomal RNA". It matches the Rfam family "Bacterial small subunit ribosomal RNA", at positions 524 to 776 of the family's 1533-position model. The record is from RNAcentral.
UACGUAGGGUGCGAGCGUUGUCCGGAAUUAUUGGGCGUAAAGGGCUCGUAGGCGGUUUGUCGCGUCGGGAGUGAAAUCCACUGGCUUAACUGGUGGCUUGCUUUCGAUACGGGCAGACUGGAGGUAUGCAGGGGAGAACGGAAUUCCUGGUGUAGCGGUGAAAUGCGCAGAUAUCAGGAGGAACACCGGUGGCGAAGGCGGCUCACUGGCCCGGAACUGACGCUGAGGCACGAAAGCGUGGGGAGCAAGCAGG